This is a non-coding RNA of Oncorhynchus mykiss (rainbow trout), 401 nucleotides long. The record is from RefSeq and is a predicted model, not a curated record. Lineage: Eukaryota; Metazoa; Chordata; Actinopteri; Salmoniformes; Salmonidae.
CAGUUCUGAACAUCAGGUACAGUUCUAAACAUACAGGUACAGUUCUAAUCAUACAGGUACAGUUCUAAUCAUACAGGUACAACAUCAGGUACAGUUCUAAUCAUACAGGUACAGUUCUAAACAUACAGGUACAACAUCAGGUACAGUUCUAAUCAUACAGGUACAGUUCUAAUCAUACAGGUACAGUUCUAAUCAUACAGGUACAACAUCAGGUACAGUUCUAAUCAUACAGGUACAGUUCUAAUCAUACAGGUACAGUUCUAAACAUACAGGUACAACAUCAGGUACAGUUCUAAUCAUACAGGUACAGUUCUAAUCAUACAGGUACAGUUCUAAUCAUACAGGUACAGUUCUAAACAUACAGGUACAACAUCAGGUACAGUUCUAAUCAUACAGGUACA